Molecule: ribosomal RNA, 253 nt
Filed under: uncultured bacterium
Lineage: Bacteria
Description: partial 16S ribosomal RNA
Rfam family: Bacterial small subunit ribosomal RNA
Source: RNAcentral
UACAGAGGGUGCAAGCGUUAAUCGGAAUUACUGGGCGUAAAGCGCAUGUAGGUGGCGCAAUAAGUUUGAUGUGAAAUCCCUGGGCUUAACCUGGGAAUGGCGUUGAAGACUGUUGGGCUAGAGUUUGGCAGAGGGUCGUGGAAUUUCCGGUGUAGCGGUGAAAUGCGUAGAGAUCGGAAAGAACACCAGUGGCGAAGGCGGCGACCUGGGCCUAAACUGACACUGAGGUGCGAAAGCGUGGGGAGCAAACAGG